RNAcentral lists this transfer RNA (64 nucleotides) under Termes sp. A TB-2017. Its description in RNAcentral is "tRNA-Glu". It matches the Rfam family "tRNA". From Rfam's summary of the family: Transfer RNA (tRNA) molecules are approximately 80 nucleotides in length. Their secondary structure includes four short double-helical elements and three loops (D, anti-codon, and T loops). The record is from RNAcentral. Lineage: Eukaryota; Metazoa; Arthropoda; Insecta; Blattodea; Termitidae.
AUUUAUAUAGUUUAGAAAAACAUUACACUUUCACUGUAAAAACAAAGAAACUCUUUUAUAAAUA